AUAUUAUGUCCAAACAUUGAAUCACCAUUUAGUUGUAGCUAGCUAUCUUCGAAUUAAUUGAAACCAAGACUACAUCAAAGAUGGUUUCUUCAAAGUCAACCAUUCUUUUUUAUUGUAGUUACCUUAAGCUACCAAUCAGCUUAUGAAGGUUUCAUUAUUUCGGGUCAAAUGGUACUUUAUCAUUUCCUUGAGUAUAUAUCGUAUAUACACUCAAUGUAGUCAUAAGGAUUUUCAUUCUUAUUUCUUUCGAAUUAAGAGGUGUAACUCUAUGACAUAGUCAUAAAGUUCAAACCAUUCAACUGAGACGGUUUAUAAAUCCUUCUCGACUACCUUGGAGCUUGUGGUAUAGGAACUAGGUUGUUAUAUUUGUUGAUCACUAUCUUGUUUCUUAAAGAACCAUUCUUUGAGUUCUAUCCCUCGUUCAUUUGCUCUAUCUUGGGCAAAUCCUAGUGUAGGAUUACAAUGAACUACCCAACAAACAACAUUUGUUAGUUGGUUUAUAGAAGUGAUAUCCAAAUGUUAAUUUAAGGAUACCCACAAGAUAAUUCUUAAACAAAUAUUGCUUAUUAGCACACAACUCCAAAUCUUAACAUGAUUAAGUUUUGUCUUUCUUUCCAACUACAUCCUAUGGAGUCAUGAAAAUUUUGGAAGAUCUUCUAAUUGACAAUCAUAUUGUCUUAGAAGUAUAUAUCCUAUAUAUGGGUAAUUGAUAAUAUCCAACGAACUAAAUUUUAUUUAAGUUCAUUCUUCUCCUUAUGGAGAAAUCUAUUAUCUUAUGAUGCUUAUUUCCUUGAUAUCUUUCAAGGAAACUGUUCUAAAGUGUUACCUUAUCUUGGAUCAAAUCUAAGGAGGUAAAUACUUUAGACGUCUUACUCAUCAACUUACAUUACUUGAAUUCUUUGAAACAUUUUGCAAAGUAUUCGGACUUGUGUUUAUUCAAAAUAAACUAUAGUCCAACCGAGAGUGAUCUUCGGUGAAUGUCAUACAACAUGAGUAGUAUUAUGUUGUGGACAAGUGCCACUAACAUCUAAGUGAAUUAACCUCAACAACUUUGUGAUUCUUUCUUCUUUCCAAAAGAAUAAAGAUUCGAACAUUUCGCCUCUAUACAAUUUUAAUAAGAAGGUAUUGGAUCUGGAUCUAACGAUCCAAAGCAUCCAUCUAUGACCAACUCGUAUUUUAUGUUUUUGAGGUAUCACAACUCAGUUGGGAUUAGUCACUACCUUGCAACCUUUUGGGUUUUAAGCAUCGUUAUAAUUCUAAACAGUUAACACUACCAUAUCAUCUCUACUAUAGAGACAAUUAAUUAGAUUACUAUAAUCCAAUCAUUGACUAAUAAAGAACAAUGUUUUGUCAAACAAAACAUUCAUCCAUCUCUACUAUAGUGACGGAAAUAAGUUCCUUAAAAUUGGAAAGUAAAGACAAUCUUUGGUUUUUCCAAUUUCUUUGGUAGUUCAUAUGAGGAAGUAAGUACUAUCUGCUU
Molecule: long non-coding RNA, 1480 nt
Filed under: Malus domestica (apple)
Lineage: Eukaryota; Viridiplantae; Streptophyta; Magnoliopsida; Rosales; Rosaceae
Description: long non-coding RNA (MDOM_LNC016840)
Source: RNAcentral